Molecule: long non-coding RNA, 420 nt
Organism: Cimex lectularius (bed bug)
Lineage: Eukaryota; Metazoa; Arthropoda; Insecta; Hemiptera; Cimicidae
Exons: 2
Source: RefSeq, a predicted model, not a curated record
UGAAAUAUUAGCUGAUUUUUAUGUAUAAAAACUUAAGAAAACCGGUCUGUAUGUUACCAGAAGUUGAAAUGUUUUUGCGGCACACCUUCAGUGAUCGUGUAGGCCAGAAAGAAGAAGAAAAUAAGUGGUGACUGUGUCGCAGUUCUAUGUCCUCUACAAGUAUCUGGCUCCAGGGGAACAUGAGCCACAUGCUUGUGUAGCCAAUUCAACACAGGACAGAUAUACAUGUACACACUGAUUGUGUUGGCGCAAGUUUUGUUAACUUCAGAUAGUCUCAACGGAUUGCACGAUUGAACUUGCAAAAACCAGUGGCCAAUGCCAACUCCCUUGUUGUCGCAAAUGAGAGGCGCUCCUAAAUCUUCUUCGCACAGGCCAGAUUCCUUCUCAUUGGUACAUAUCAAACGAAGAUAUUCAUUACUA